This 198-nucleotide ribosomal RNA is filed under the name uncultured bacterium. Its description in RNAcentral is "partial 16S ribosomal RNA". It matches the Rfam family "Bacterial small subunit ribosomal RNA", at positions 577 to 775 of the family's 1533-position model. The record is from RNAcentral.
GGGAUGCCAAGUCAGCGGUCAAAUACAGGGGCUCAACCCCGUCCAGCCGUUGAAACUGGGUAGCUUGAGUCGGCGAGAAGUACGCGGAAUGCGCGGUGUAGCGGUGAAAUGCAUAGAUAUCGCGCAGAACUCCGAUUGCGAAGGCAGCGUACCGGCGCCGCACUGACGCUGAGGCACGAAAGCGUGGGUAUCGAACAG